GAUGAACGCUGGCGGCGUGCCUAACACAUGCAAGUCGAACGGAGUCGUUUUGGAAAUCUCUUCGGAGAUGGAAUUCUCGACUUAGUGGCGGACGGGUGAGUAACGCGUGAGCAAUCUGCCUUUAAGAGGGGGAUAACAGUCGGAAACGGCUGCUAAUACCGCAUAAAGCAUCAAAUUCGCAUGUUUUUGAUGCCAAAGGAGCAAUCCGCUUUUAGAUGAGCUCGCGUCUGAUUAGCUGGUUGGCGGGGUAACGGCCCACCAAGGCGACGAUCAGUAGCCGGACUGAGAGGUUGAACGGCCACAUUGGGACUGAGACACGGCCCAGACUCCUACGGGAGGCAGCAGUGGGGAAUAUUGCGCAAUGGGGGAAACCCUGACGCAGCAACGCCGCGUGAUUGAAGAAGGCCUUCGGGUUGUAAAGAUCUU
This 426-nucleotide ribosomal RNA is filed under the name uncultured bacterium. RNAcentral's name for it is "bacterial SSU rRNA". It matches the Rfam family "Bacterial small subunit ribosomal RNA", at positions 28 to 435 of the family's 1533-position model. The record is from RNAcentral.